Molecule: unclassified non-coding RNA, 410 nt
Filed under: fungal sp.
Lineage: Eukaryota; Fungi
Description: partial internal transcribed spacer region
Rfam family: Eukaryotic small subunit ribosomal RNA (bases 1-46)
Source: RNAcentral
AAGUCGUAACAAGGUUUCCGUAGGUGAACCUGCGGAAGGAUCAUUACAAUACGUUCCAUACGUAUAAACCAAACGUUGAACUGAAAUGCGUCCGAUAGGAAUUUGGGUCUUGAAUGAGAGAGCCGGCGGCUUUGAGGUGGAUACACCAAACAAUCAAAACCCUCGUGUUUUGAAGGUGAUCAAAAGUGCCUCGGGUCGGUUCUUUUCCUUGUGCAGCUUCGUGCUCGCAACGGAAAACCCUGUUCCUAGUUCGCGUAUUUAUCCAAUCAUACACUUUUGGUUGCCUUUUUUUCAUUUUAACCCCUUUCACCUUUUCAAUUUUAAAACAUUGAACUGAUCUCGAGCUUUAAUCGGCUCGAUCAUUUUACGAAACGUAAGAACAACUCUUAACAACGGAUAUCUUGGCUCUC